RNAcentral lists this ribosomal RNA (254 nucleotides) under uncultured bacterium. RNAcentral's name for it is "partial 16S ribosomal RNA". It matches the Rfam family "Bacterial small subunit ribosomal RNA", at positions 524 to 776 of the family's 1533-position model. The record is from RNAcentral.
UACGUAGGGGGCGAGCGUUGUCCGGAUUUAUUGGGCGUAAAGAGCUCGUAGGCGGUUUGGUAAGUCGGGUGUGAAAUCUCCACGCUCAACGUGGAGGGGCCACUCGAUACUGCCAUGACUCGAGUCCGGUAGAGGAGUGUGGAAUUCCCGGUGUAGCGGUGAAAUGCGCAGAUAUCGGGAGGAACACCCGUAGCGAAGGCGGCACUCUGGGCCGGAACUGACGCUGAGGAGCGAAAGCGUGGGGAGCGAACAGG